UACGAAGGGGGCUAGCGUUGUUCGGAAUUACUGGGCGUAAAGCGCACGUAGGCGGAUUGUUAAGUUAGGGGUGAAAUCCCGGGGCUCAACCCCGGAACUGCCUUUAAUACUGGCAAUCUCGAGUUCGAGAGAGGUGAGUGGAAUUCCGAGUGUAGAGGUGAAAUUCGUAGAUAUUCGGAGGAACACCAGUGGCGAAGGCGGCUCACUGGCUCGGUACUGACGCUGAGGUGCGAAAGCGUGGGGAGCAAACAGG
Molecule: ribosomal RNA, 253 nt
Filed under: uncultured bacterium
Lineage: Bacteria
Description: partial 16S ribosomal RNA
Rfam family: Bacterial small subunit ribosomal RNA
Source: RNAcentral